GACGAACGCUGGCGGCGCGCUUAACACAUGCAAGUCGAACGGAAAGGCCUGCUUUCCCUUGUGGAUUGCGGGUACUCGAGUGGCGAACGGGUGAGUAACACGUGAGUGAUCUGCCCCCAACUUGGGUAUAAGCCUGGGAAACUGGGUCUAAUUCCCGAUAGGACUGCAGGGUGGUGCCUGUGGUGGAAAACGAUUUUCUAGUGGUUGGGGAUGAGCUCGCGGCCUAUCAGCUUGUUGGUGGGGUAAUGGCCUACCAAGGCGGCGACGGGUAGCCGGCCUGAGAGGGUGGACGGCCACAUUGAGACAGGGAUACGGCCCAGACUCCUGCGGGAGGCAGCGGUGGGGAAUAAUGCACAGUGGGCGGGAGCCUGAUGCAGCGACGCCGCGUGGAGGAUGACGGCCUUCGGGUGGUAAACUCCUUUCGACCGCGAGGAAGCCACCUGGUUGGAAGGGUGGUGACGGUAGUGGUAGAAGAAGCACCGGCUAACUACGUG
This 494-nucleotide ribosomal RNA is filed under the name uncultured bacterium. Its description in RNAcentral is "partial 16S ribosomal RNA". It matches the Rfam family "Bacterial small subunit ribosomal RNA", at positions 28 to 507 of the family's 1533-position model. The record is from RNAcentral.